CUGCCCUAGAACUACACUCACACAGAAGGGGACAGUCCAGCCCAUCUUCCUGCAGCUGCCACAGUGGGCAACUCCUCAGUUUCUUACCAGCUCCCCGUGUCUUUGGGGUGCUGGUGACUUAGUUAAGAAGAUGUUGAAAAGACAUGGGAUAUAGUACUGAAAUCCGUAAGAGCUGCACAAAUGACAUCAGGACAAGAGGUGACACCUGGUUUCAGAAGUGCAGCAGGAUAUAACCUGAGCUGAUAGCUGGCAGUCACUGGCGUUCGUUGAACCGAGGAUCUUAAAUGCCCUCCUCCUCCUUUCUGUGCUAUUUUGGCUCUCUGAGGGGAGAGCUCUACCAUGCAUAAGGCUACACGCGUCAUUAACAGACUGGUGCAUCUAUCAGGAACGCAGUGGUGCUCAGGAUACUCUGUAUAUCUGCAAAUUAGGAGACAAACGGCCCUUUCCCACCUAACCUUACCUGAACUGAAAGCAAACUGAGAUACCACCUAAAAGCUGAAGACAGGCGGG
This 510-nucleotide long non-coding RNA is filed under the name Gallus gallus (chicken). Its description in RNAcentral is "long non-coding RNA NONGGAT004521". The record is from RNAcentral. Lineage: Eukaryota; Metazoa; Chordata; Aves; Galliformes; Phasianidae.